UGGGGAAUAUUGCACAAUGGGCGAAAGCCUGAUGCAGCGACGCCGCGUGAGGGAUGACGGCCUUCGGGUUGUAAACCUCUUUCAGUAGGGACGAAGCGCAAGUGACGGUACCUGCAGAAGAAGCACCGGCUAACUACGUGCCAGCAGCCGCGGUAAUACGUAGGGUACGAGCGUUGUCCGGAAUUACUGGGCGUAAAGAGCUCGUAGGCGGUUUGUCACGUCGUCUGUGAAAUCCUAGGGCUUAACCCUGGACGUGCAGGCGAUACGGGCUGACUUGAGUACUACAGGGGAGACUGGAAUUUCUGGUGUAGCGGUGGAAUGCACAGAUAUCAGGAAGAACACCGAUGGCGAAGGCAGGUCUCUGGGUAGUAACUGACGCUGAGGAGCGAAAGCAUGGGUAGCGAACAGG
This 409-nucleotide ribosomal RNA is filed under the name bacterium. RNAcentral describes it as "partial 16S ribosomal RNA". It matches the Rfam family "Bacterial small subunit ribosomal RNA", at positions 355 to 776 of the family's 1533-position model. The record is from RNAcentral.